ACGGGAGGCAGCAGUAGGGAAUAUUGGUCAAUGGGCGCAAGCGUGAACCAGCCAUGCCGCGUGCAGGAUGACAGUCUUAGGGCCGUAAACUGCUUUUAUACAAGACUAAUAGUGAUCUGUGGGUCAUGAUGAAGGUAUUGUAAGAAUAAAUACCGGCUAAUUCCGUGCCAGCAGCCGCGGUAAUACGGAAGGUGUAAGCGUUAUCCGGAUUUACUGGGUUUAAAGGGUAUGUAGGCGGUUGUAUGUGUCAGCGGUGAAAUGCCAGUGCUUAACAUUCGGAAUUGCCGUUGAAACUGUACAUCUAGAAUAUUGGGGAGGUAAGCAGAAUUUGUAGUGUAGCAGUAAAAUGCAUAGAUACUAUGAGGAAUACCAACAGCGAAGGCAGCUUAUCAUUCAAUUAUUGACGCUGAUAUACGAAAGCGUGGGGAGCAAACAGGAUUAGAUACCCUGGUA
RNAcentral lists this ribosomal RNA (453 nucleotides) under uncultured Cytophagaceae bacterium. RNAcentral describes it as "partial 16S ribosomal RNA". It matches the Rfam family "Bacterial small subunit ribosomal RNA", at positions 341 to 792 of the family's 1533-position model. Lineage: Bacteria; Pseudomonadati; Bacteroidota; Cytophagia; Cytophagales; Cytophagaceae. The record is from RNAcentral.